UCGAGGAUCUUCGUCAAUGGGCGCAAGCCUGAACGAGCGACGCCGCGUGCGCGAUGAAGGCCUUCGGGUUGUAAAGCGCGAAAGUGGGGAUAAAGCCGAAAGGUUGAUAGAUCCACAGUAAGGACGGGCUAAGUUCGUGCCAGCAGCCGCGGUAAGACGAACUGUCCUAACGUUGUUCGGAAUCACUGGGCUUAAAGGGCGCGUAGGCGGUCCGACAAGUCAGGGGUGAAAUCCUGCAGCUUAACUGCAGAAGUGCCUUUGAUACUGUCGGUCUGGAGGGAGAUAGGGGUGUGCGGAACUUCCAGUGGAGCGGUGAAAUGCGUUGAUAUUGGAAGGAACGCCGGAGGCGAAAGCGGCGCACUGGAUCUCUUCUGACGCUGAGGCGCGAAAGCUAGGGGAGCAAACGG
Molecule: ribosomal RNA, 407 nt
Filed under: uncultured bacterium
Lineage: Bacteria
Description: bacterial SSU rRNA
Rfam family: Bacterial small subunit ribosomal RNA
Source: RNAcentral